GUAGUACAGGGGAUACCCUGUCUGUUCUGCUGUCUAUUGCGGCGCCGCGACCCGGCCAAAUAAGCGGGCGGUCGCGGGGCGUGACAACAUGCUCGACACCCGCCUGGGCCGCCGCCUGCUGACGCUCCAAGGCCUCCUGGAGCCGCUGAAUCUGCUCCCCUUGGCGUUGAACAGACUCCGCUUGUUGCCGCAGUGCGCCAAUAAACGCGGCCAUCUUCUCCCUAAGCUCUCCGUCGCCACUCACUCCGGAUCGAUCGGGCGCCACAUUCGACUCCUUCGGCAUCGACCUUGUCUACAGUCGACCACGAGGCUCCAUUGCUUCCUUAAAAGAAGCAACUCACACUAGCUACAUGACCACAUUACUUGACCAUACCCAAUCCGACGAAAGCAACAUGCACAUUCAUCCUUGCCUCAAGCGUCAUGUCGUCAGCCGCCCGACACAACACUAGAAGUAGAGGAUAAACGAAAAUUAAACUUAGUCUCUAAUCACAUUAGAGACGUCCGAACUUAACCAAAUCACAUGCUUUCGCUAACUUUAAUUCCACGUCACUCACGUUUCCUAGAUCCUUAAGGUCUUCCAAUCCUAAGGGUCUCUAAGUCCAUUCCUAUUCUUUCACUCUUGGCUCUGAUACCACGAUAUCUGUCACGCCCUGGGACCGAUACCAAUUUGGGCCGGCCCGAGCACGUCAAACAGACGCCGAACGGACAGAGUUUCCCCUAUCCGCCCAAGGCUCAUCACCUAUACAUUUUCAAUCAUGAAGUGCACUAGCGGAAACAUACACAAAUGGCUUACACAAGGGUAAGCAAUAGCCAUGAGUGAGAGAAUGGAAACUAACAUUCAAUUUGUACUAUGAUUCAAUUUAGAUCAUAUACAUUGCAUUCAUAGUUC
Molecule: long non-coding RNA, 889 nt
Filed under: Ananas comosus (pineapple)
Lineage: Eukaryota; Viridiplantae; Streptophyta; Magnoliopsida; Poales; Bromeliaceae
Description: long non-coding RNA (ACOM_LNC023285)
Source: RNAcentral